CGCCUUUGCCUCCAAGGCUUUGCUGGCUUGUGCGGCAUCCUGCUCCGUCUGCAGGUUGUGCUUCCGGUGCGGAGGUCAGGGACAAGAUGGUGCCACCGGUGCAGGUCUCUCCGCUCAUCAAGAUGACAGCAUAUUAAAGUGAGUGACCCUGCGACCCACUCUUUGGACCAGCAGCGGAUGAAUAAAGCUUCCUGUGUUGUGUGAU
This 205-nucleotide long non-coding RNA is filed under the name Homo sapiens (human). Its description in RNAcentral is "non-protein coding lnc-ATP5ME-2:3". Lineage: Eukaryota; Metazoa; Chordata; Mammalia; Primates; Hominidae. The record is from RNAcentral.